AGCGAACGCUGGCGGCAGGCUUAACACAUCCAAGUCGAGCGGGCACUUUCGGGUGUCAGCGGCGGACGGGUGAGUAACGCGUGGGAACGUGCCCUCUGGUUCGGAAUAACUCAGGGAAACUUGAGCUAAUACCGGAUACGCCCUUUUGGGGAAAGGCUUGCUGCCGGAGGAUCGGCCCGCGUCUGAUUAGCUAGUUGGUGAGGUAACGGCUCACCAAGGCGACGAUCAGUAGCUGGUCUGAGAGGAUGAUCAGCCACACUGGGACUGAGACACGGCCCAGACUCCUACGGGAGGCAGCAGUGGGGAAUAUUGGACAAUGGGCGCAAGCCUGAUCCAGCCAUGCCGCGUGAGUGAUGAAGGCCUUAGGGUUGUAAAGCUCUUUUAUCCGGGACGAUAAUGACGGUACCGGAGGAAUAAGCCCCGGCUAACUUCGUG
RNAcentral lists this ribosomal RNA (435 nucleotides) under uncultured bacterium. Its description in RNAcentral is "partial 16S ribosomal RNA". It matches the Rfam family "Bacterial small subunit ribosomal RNA", at positions 29 to 507 of the family's 1533-position model. The record is from RNAcentral.